This 301-nucleotide ribosomal RNA is filed under the name uncultured bacterium. RNAcentral describes it as "partial 16S ribosomal RNA". It matches the Rfam family "Bacterial small subunit ribosomal RNA", at positions 509 to 809 of the family's 1533-position model. The record is from RNAcentral.
CAGCCGCCGCGGGAAUACGAAGGGGGCUAGCGUUGUUCGGAUUUACUGGGCGUAAAGCGCACGUAGGCGGACUUUUAAGUCAGGGGUGAAAUCCCGGGGCUCAACCCCGGAACUGCCUUUGAUACUGGAAGUCUUGAGUAUGGUAGAGGUGAGUGGAAUUCCGAGUGUAGAGGUGAAAUUCGUAGAUAUUCGGAGGAACACCAGUGGCGAAGGCGGCUCACUGGACCAUUACUGACGCUGAGGUGCGAAAGCGUGGGGAGCAAACAGGAUUAGAUACCCCCGUAGUCCCUGUCUCUUAUAA